AAACACCCGUUCCCAUUCCGAACACGGAAGUUAAGCCCGCCAGCGCCGAUGAUACUGCCCUGGAGACGGGGCGGGAAAGUAGGGCGGUGCCAGGC
This 95-nucleotide ribosomal RNA is filed under the name Phorcysia thermohydrogeniphila. Lineage: Bacteria; Pseudomonadati; Aquificota; Aquificia; Desulfurobacteriales; Desulfurobacteriaceae. The record is from RNAcentral.